This 435-nucleotide ribosomal RNA is filed under the name Janthinobacterium sp. 2D. Its description in RNAcentral is "bacterial SSU rRNA". It matches the Rfam family "Bacterial small subunit ribosomal RNA", at positions 39 to 478 of the family's 1533-position model. The record is from RNAcentral. Lineage: Bacteria; Pseudomonadati; Pseudomonadota; Betaproteobacteria; Burkholderiales; Oxalobacteraceae.
GCGGCAUGCUUUACACAUGCAAGUCGAACGGCAGCGCGGGGCAACCUGGCGGCGAGUGGCGAACGGGUGAGUAAUACAUCGGAACGUACCCAGAAGUGGGGGAUAACGUAGCGAAAGUUACGCUAAUACCGCAUACGUUCUACGGAAGAAAGUGGGGGACCUUCGGGCCUCAUGCUUUUGGAGCGGCCGAUGUCUGAUUAGCUAGUUGGUAGGGUAAAGGCCUACCAAGGCGACGAUCAGUAGCUGGUCUGAGAGGACGACCAGCCACACUGGGACUGAGACACGGCCCAGACUCCUACGGGAGGCAGCAGUGGGGAAUUUUGGACAAUGGGCGCAAGCCUGAUCCAGCAAUGCCGCGUGAGUGAAGAAGGCCUUCGGGUUGUAAAGCUCUUUUGUCAGGGAAGAAACGGCUGAGGCUAAUACCUUUGGCUAAUG